GGCACCUUCGGUGUCCGAGUUGUAAUUUGAAGAAGGUAACUUCUCGGAGUCAGCUCUUGUCUAUGUUCCUUGGAACAGGACGUCACAGAGGGUGAGAAUCCCGUGCGAUGAGAUGUCUGAUUCUAUGUAAAGUGCUUUCGAAGAGUCGAGUUGUUUGGGAAUGCAGCUCUAAGUGGGUGGUAAAUUCCAUCUAAAGCUAAAUAUUGGCGAGAGACCGAUAGCGAACAAGUACAGUGAUGGAAAGAUGAAAAGAACUUUGAAAAGAGAGUGAAAAAGUACGUGAAAUUGUUGAAAGGGAAGGGUUUGAGAUCAGACUUGGUAUUUUGUAUGUCUUGCUUUCGGGUGGGGCCUCUACAGUUUACUGGGCCAGCAUCGGUUUGGACGGUAGGAUAAUGACAUUGGAAUGUGGCACCACUUCGGUGGUGUGUUAUAGACUUUGUUGAUACUGCCUGUCUAGACCGAGGACUGCGUCUUUGACUAGGAUGCUGGCAUAAUGAUCUUAAACCGCCC
RNAcentral lists this ribosomal RNA (510 nucleotides) under Scheffersomyces sp. BG090807.3.9.2.2.22. RNAcentral describes it as "eukaryotic LSU rRNA". It matches the Rfam family "Eukaryotic large subunit ribosomal RNA", at positions 124 to 650 of the family's 3401-position model. Lineage: Eukaryota; Fungi; Ascomycota; Pichiomycetes; Serinales; Debaryomycetaceae. The record is from RNAcentral.